CUAUGAUGGUAUACAUCAUGGCGGAAGGAG
This 30-nucleotide non-coding RNA is filed under the name unclassified sequences. RNAcentral's name for it is "L31-Firmicutes ribosomal protein leader". It matches the Rfam family "L31-Firmicutes ribosomal protein leader". The record is from RNAcentral.